CGCUAAAAGAAGGGAAAUGUACUCACCGGACGCAGCCUGGCGAUCCAAGCCCGGCACUGCGCUCACAGAAGGCUGAGGCAAAGAAACAGCAGUUCCAGCAUCCACAGAGGACAUCAGCUGUGAUCCAGGCGCCACCUGCUGGACGGAUCCACGAACUGCAGCAGCAUGCUGAGAAGGAAGCAGCCGAGAAGAUGAGCCCACGCCCCAGAGGAGAUGGCCGAGGUAAGUGAAUCUGGGGGGGGGAAGAGGCAAGGUAGAGGGGGGGUCAGGCAAGGUAGAGAGGAGGAGGGGGAGAACAGAGGGAUGCAGAUAGGGAGGGAUGUUUUUUUUUCUAUAUGGAGGGGAUAAGAGCAGGAGAGGGGGUGCAGGCCCACCAGAGAGAGAGGGAGGGGGGGGGGAGAAGCGAAAACCAGAAAGGGGGGGGGGACCAGGGGGCCCAGGUAAGGAAAGCUGGGCCCCCUGGAAGAAAUAAAGCCAGCCAAAUAGGGAGGAGGGGAGACAGAGCCCUGGGAUCCUUCCUCACUGGCAGAGGAGGCUCCCGACGGGCAAGGGGACCCCCCCAGCGGCCCGCGUGGGCCCACUCACCUCCCCGCCGGCCGCUGGGGAGCUGCACAGUUGCUGGGCAGCCACCUGCCGCCCGGAUCGCGGGAUCCGCCGCCCACCGCCCCCGGCCCGCAAUCCAGCACUGGUGGCCGGGGCGGAUGGUGUGGAGUGGGGGAGAGGAGUAGGCCGCGCGGCAGCCGCACCAGGAGGCCGCGCGGCAGUUGCAGGCUGCAUCCCCGGCCUGGAGGUAGAGGGCGACCCAGUAAGUAGCAGGCUGGGCGGCCAUAGAAGAAACAAUUUAUUGAAAAGAAUUAUUCCGACACUCUUCUUGAUAGUACCAUAAAUACAGUUAGAAACAAACCUAGAGAAAGUCUUUUAACAUACAAGAACAAAAAUAUUUUAGAAACCCCCACUCUUCCUAUAAUUUUUAAUUAUAAUAAUAAAAGUGGUUUUAUUAAAAAAAACAAUCAAAAAACACUGGCAUCUCCUAAGACAUGAUGAUCUGCUUAAAGAAAUCUUACCUAUACAGCCGAAAAUUGUUUUCAGAGGGGCACCUAAUUUUAGAUCCAUUUUAACUAACAACUAUACUAAAGAAAUUAAAAAUACUCAACACACUUUUUUAGAUGGGGCAAAAGGCUUUUACAAAUGUAAACGUUGCACUGUAUGCAAAAAUACUGAUCCAACAACUAAAUCUACUAUUACUAGUUUUAAAUCCAACCAAACUGAUAAAAGUUAUACCAUAAGAGACUUUAUCGGAUGUAACACCACUAACGUUAUCUACCUAUUGGAGUGCCCCUGUGGCCUCCAAUAUGUAGGUAUGACCACCAGGUGUUUAAAGAUAAGACUAGCAGAACACUGUAGGAAUAUUAGAAAUGGGUAUUUAAACCACUCUGUAUCUAAGCACUUUAUUAACCACAAUCAAGACCCCAAACUUCUCAAAUGUUUAGGUAUUCAGAAAUGCAAAAUACCUUGGAGAGGUGGUAAUAUAAAAAAUAUUCUUGGCAGGUCAGAGAUGGAAUGGGUAUUUAAUUUACAAACCCUAACACCUCAAGGUCUUAAUGUAGAUUUUGAUUUAUUUAAUUUUUUAGAAUAAUUUUUUUAUUUUUUUUAUUUUUUAUUUUGUACUGCUUGUUUUGAUUUUAUUCAUUUAUCCAAGUCAUGUCUAUUUAAAUUGUAAUUGUAUAUAUUUAUCAUAUGAUUAUUCAUUCCUUAUUACUUUUAUCCUUCUUAAGGGUGGAUCUUCUAAAAGUAGAUCCCAUAUGAUUGUAUUACUCAUUAUAUUUUUAUUUAUUAUUAUUAUUUUUUAUCCUUUUUAAGGUUUGAUCUUUUAACUGUAUAUCCUAUACUUUAUCAUUACUACUGUAUUUUUAUUAGUACAACAUCUUCUUUGCCCUUUACUAUUAUCCUUUUUGCCCUUUACUACAUGUCCCAUAAUCCCUGUGGCUCCGGUCACGUGACCCGCGGGUAUCUACGUUGUGUUACGCCGCGGGUCACGUGACACAGUCUGGUCCCGCCCUGCCGUCCGUGCGUGCCAUUCUCUUCCAUACUGGCCGCACGGACUGUUUGCAUAUCGGUAACCACAUGCGGUCACGUGACCCAGCGCACUACAGAUACCAUAGUGCAUUGCGGGUCACGUGACCCGCACGGAUAUUGCAAUUGAAUUGAUUUUAAUUUGUUCAAAUUCUACAGUAUAAACCCUCGUUUUUAAAUUAUAUUCACACCAACACCUUCUUAUGCCUUAAUACUUUAAUACUGUACAUCAUUGUUUAAUUUUGUUUAUGCACUUUUUAUUUAUAUUUUGUUCUGUUCUGAUUGGUGAUUGCUUUUUUGGCGCCAAUUUUUGAUUGUAUGUACAAGCUAUAUAUACUCCCUAUGUGCCAGGGACUAACACUAUUCCAAUUUGAUAAAGCCUGCUGGCGAAACGCGUUAUUGGUUUUAAUAUAUUGUACUAAUAAAUAAUUUUACAUAUAUUACCUUUUUAUACUAUUUUAUUUCUAUUUACUGUUCCUGGCAUAUCCUAAGGUGGGGAUUAUACCACCCACGCGAUUAACAGAGUGCAGAAAGACCUGCACUCUAUUUGUGAGUAUAUUUUAUUUAUUUUAUUCUUUUACGCUAACUACCUCACCGGAGAGCACUAUUGGCUGUUUUUAUUUAUUUUUAUGAGAAUUGGACACCAGCACCCCCCAGGAGGACAAGUACCCCUAAAAGCGGAGGGCAAUCCGCUGUGUGCCUAUCAUACUAGAGCUGGUCCUAGCUCAUGGACAUGUGAGUGUGCAAUUUAUAUUUUAAUCUCACUACUAUUUAUAUAUACACUCUGCACGAUUAGUCCUUUCCCAUUGUGUUUUUCAUAUCGUGAGAUGGACAACUGUUAACAAAGAAGACACCACAUCAGUUGAGAUACCACCUAUUACUGGGACUCCUUUACAGAACUUUAUUUAGUACCGAACUUUUUUUGUUUUAUUUUCUGUGGCGCAGCCUUUUCUCUGUUUUUGGGCGGCCAUAGGGGUAGCAGGCCGCGCGGCAGUGGCAGGCCUCGUGUCUGAAGGCCGUGCCACCUGUGCGGCCUCAGUAGGCCUCAGAUCCCAGCCCCCCCAGUAGUAGGCCGCGUGCCUGCAGCCCCAGACACGUGGCCCCCGCGGUGCCCCGGGCCCAGGCUCCUGCUCCUUACCGGGCCCGGGGAGUAUGAACCUGGGACAGCCUGGCAGGCGGGCGGGAAUGCCUGCCAGUGCUGAUGCGGCCCCCAGGGGCAGGGACCGCAUGGGAGGCAGCAGGGGAGACCGCAGUGGGUGCCCCAGGGUGAGGCAGGCCACGGGGGGUGCCCACACCGGCAGCCAUACCUCCAGUAAUGCUUGUAAAUUGCCUCUACAGGUGCCGGCCACCAUCCAGCGCAGCAGCAGCCCUGAG
Non-coding RNA from Pelobates cultripes (western spadefoot toad), 3447 nucleotides. The record is from the annotation of a GenBank genome assembly. NCBI's taxonomy places the organism in Eukaryota, Metazoa, Chordata, Amphibia, Anura, Pelobatidae.